RNAcentral lists this ribosomal RNA (433 nucleotides) under uncultured bacterium. RNAcentral describes it as "partial 16S ribosomal RNA". It matches the Rfam family "Bacterial small subunit ribosomal RNA", at positions 29 to 507 of the family's 1533-position model. The record is from RNAcentral.
AACGAACGCUGGCGGCAUGCCUAACACAUGCAAGUCGAACGAGACCUUCGGGUCUAGUGGCGCACGGGUGCGUAACGCGUGGGAACCUGCCCUUAGGUUCGGAAUAACUCCCCGAAAGGGGUGCUAAUACCGGAUAAUGUCUUCGGACCAAAGAUUUAUCGCCUUUGGAUGGGCCCGGGUUGGAUUAGCUAGUUGGUAGGGUAAAAGCCUACCAAGGCGACGAUCCAUAGCUGGUCUGAGAGGAGGAUCAGCUACACUGGGAAUGAGACACGGCCCAGACUCCUACGGGAGGGAGCAGUGGGGAAUAUUGGACAAUGGGCGAAAGCCUGAUCCAGCAAUGCCGCGUGAGUGAUGAAGGCCUUAGGGUUGUAAAGCUCUUUUACCCGGGAUGAUAAUGACAGUACCGGGAGAAUAAGCACCGGCUAACUCCGUG